Molecule: ribosomal RNA, 301 nt
Filed under: uncultured bacterium
Lineage: Bacteria
Description: partial 16S ribosomal RNA
Rfam family: Bacterial small subunit ribosomal RNA
Source: RNAcentral
CAGCCGCCGCGGGAAUACAGAGGGUGCGAGCGUUAAUCGGAUUUACUGGGCGUAAAGCGUGUGUAGGUUGUUGUUCAAGUCAGUUGUGAAAUCCCUGGGCUCAACCUGGGAACUGCUUCUGAGACUGAACGACUAGAGUACGGUAGAGGGUGGUGGAAUUUCCGGUGUAGCGGUGAAAUGCGUAGAUAUCGGAAGGAACAUCAAUGGCGAAGGCAGCCACCUGGGCCUGUACUGACACUGAGACACGAAAGCGUGGGGAUCAAACAGGAUUAGAUACCCCAGUAGUCCCUGUCUCUUAUAU